Molecule: ribosomal RNA, 464 nt
Filed under: uncultured bacterium
Lineage: Bacteria
Description: partial 16S ribosomal RNA
Rfam family: Bacterial small subunit ribosomal RNA
Source: RNAcentral
GACGAACGCUGGCGGCGUGCUUAACACAUGCAAGUCGAACGGUAAGGCCCUUUCGGGGGUACACGAGUGGCGAACGGGUGAGUAACACGUGGGUGAUCUGCCCUGCACUUUGGGAUAAGCCUGGGAAACUGGGUCUAAUACCGGAUAGGACUACGCGAUGCAUGUCGUGUGGUGGAAAGCUUUUGCGGUGUGGGAUGGGCCCGCGGCCUAUCAGCUUGUUGGUGGGGUGAUGGCCUACCAAGGCGACGACGGGUAGCCGGCCUGAGAGGGUGUCCGGCCACACUGGGACUGAGAUACGGCCCAGUCUCCGACGGGAGGCAGCAGUGGAGAAUAUUGCACAAUGGGCGCAAGCCUGAUGCAGCGACGCCGCGUGGGGGAUGACGGCCUUCGGGUUGUAAACCCCUUUCAGCACAGACGAAGCGUAAGUGACGGUAGGUGCAGAAGAAGCACCGGCCAACUACGUG